This 232-nucleotide long non-coding RNA is filed under the name Daucus carota (carrot). RNAcentral's name for it is "long non-coding RNA (DCAR_LNC002634)". The record is from RNAcentral. Lineage: Eukaryota; Viridiplantae; Streptophyta; Magnoliopsida; Apiales; Apiaceae.
UCCAGUGGUCGGGGAGUGUUCAGGAAAGUUGAUGAGGUUGGUGCAAGCUGGAAUAGUUGACAGUGAUUCUUCUUAUCGAAGAUGAUCUGAUUUGGUAAGAGAUGUUGUGUAACAAUAGUGGUAGAUUCUAAUUUCAAUACUGUAACCUGGAUGCGAUCCUGUUGCUUUUAGGGGGUUUAAAUGUUCUCUUUCGAAUCAAUUAUUAAAGUUUAAAUGUUCUCUUGAAAUUCUC